CGGAGGAGGAGGCCCCUGCCAUGGUGUCUCAGCUCUAGGCCCUCCUGCUUGACCGUGACACCCACCCUCAAGAUCCACUCGACAGAUCACGCGGCUGGCUCUCGAGCUCUACUGCGAUCCCCGAGGAUGUGCUAAGGAUGUGAAGGUCCAUCCCCGGCCCAUGGCUGCUGCCAGAUUAGGCUGGUUGAGCGGUUCUUUCAGUGCGGGCUGAUCUGCAGGCUCGACUUUUUGUUUUGGAGGUUGCUGCUCGUCGUUGGUUAUAUGGGGAGGCGUUUUGGUGGUCCAAGUUUCCUAGGCAGUGCUUUUGCUGGCAGGGAAAGUUCAGAGGAAUAUGCUUUGAGAGGUGUCAUAAUAUGAAAGGAAACAAUUAGUUCUGCCCAAGGGUGUUUCUUUGUACCGGGGCAUUGUCUCCAUAUGCUAGAUGAAAUCCAUGCCUCCCACAGUUAUUGAAGGUGUGUUGCUUCCAUUUGCAAGUUGCAUCAGCAAGAAUUGUUGGGCUUAAAAAUCCAGGAUGGUGUUGUUAAUGCAACAUCUCUGUUUGAAGAGUUGGUGACUGUAGUUUUUGGAAACUAUAGUGAUGGGCUAAUCUACCAGACUGUGGAGCUGCCUCAGAAUGGCGAGUUUUCUUGUGCCAAUGAAACUGGUUCCCAUAGAUCGUAAAGGAUGCUUCUAUUAUGUUUAUUUGGCUUCAACAUUACCUAUAGCAAGAUGCAUUUUUUCGCUUGUUUUUUUUUCCUGCAAGACCUUAUUCCUUGCACUCUUGAGUCUUUUGAGAAGGAGAAAAUUAUUGUUGGGAGGGAAAAAGACUGAUCAUGAGUUCCUGAAACAGAGUGCAACAGUGAAGAACAAGAGGCUUUUUUGUUGAUGAGUCGGCCUAAAUAUAUUUUAGAUGAUUGCCAAAAAGUUGUUAUUGAAGGAUUGGAGUCAAGCUUAGGAUCAGUUUAUCCUAUGGGUCUGUACUACAAGGUUGAGUGCGUCAACCGACAACGCAGAAAUCAGGUUUAUAGACGAGUGCUUUAUGCCGGGGUGGACGAG
This is a long non-coding RNA of Triticum aestivum (bread wheat), 1035 nucleotides long. RefSeq lists it as uncharacterized. NCBI's taxonomy places the organism in Eukaryota, Viridiplantae, Streptophyta, Magnoliopsida, Poales, Poaceae. The record is from RefSeq and is a predicted model, not a curated record. The transcript has 7 exons.